CCAGACUCCUACGGGAGGCAGCAGUGGGGAAUAUUGCACAAUGGGGGGAACCCUGAUGCAGCGACGCCGCGUGGGUGAAGGAGCAUUUCGGUAUGUAAAGCCCUAUCAGCAGGGAAGAACAAUGGCGGUACCUGACUAAGAAGCACCGGCUAAAUACGUGCCAGCAGCCGCGGGAAUACGUAUGGGGCAAGCGUUAUCCGGAUUUACUGGGUGUAAAGGGAGCGUAGACGGCCAGACAAGUCUGGAGUGAAAAUCCAGCGCUUAACGUUGGAAGUGCUUUGGAAGCUGCCGGGCUAGAGUGCAGGAGGGGCAGGCGGAAUUCCUAGUGUAGCGGUGAAAUGCGUAGAUAUUAGGAGGAACACCAGUGGCGAAGGCGGCCUGCUGGACUGCAACUGACGUUGAGGCUCGAAGGCGUGGGGAGCAAACAGGAUUAGAUCCCCCUGUA
This 445-nucleotide ribosomal RNA is filed under the name uncultured bacterium. RNAcentral describes it as "bacterial SSU rRNA". It matches the Rfam family "Bacterial small subunit ribosomal RNA", at positions 331 to 792 of the family's 1533-position model. The record is from RNAcentral.